AGAUUGAACGCUGGCGGCAGGCCUAACACAUGCAAGUCGAGCGGUAGAGAGGUGCUUGCACCUCUUGAGAGCGGCGGACGGGUGAGUAAUGCCUAGGAAUCUGCCUAGUGGUGGGGGAUAACGUUCGGAAACGGACGCUAAUACCGCAUACGUCCUACGGGAGAAAGCGGGGGACCUUCGGGCCUCGCGCCAUUAGAUGAGCCUAGGUCGGAUUAGCUAGUUGGUGAGGUAAUGGCUCACCAAGGCGACGAUCCGUAACUGGUCUGAGAGGAUGAUCAGUCACACUGGAACUGAGACGACGGUCCAGACUCCCUAGGGAGCAGUCAGGUGGGAAUAGUGGACAAGUGGGACGAAAGCCUGAAUCC
RNAcentral lists this ribosomal RNA (365 nucleotides) under uncultured soil bacterium. RNAcentral's name for it is "bacterial SSU rRNA". It matches the Rfam family "Bacterial small subunit ribosomal RNA", at positions 26 to 389 of the family's 1533-position model. The record is from RNAcentral.